AGAACGAACGCUGGCGGCAUGCCUAACACAUGCAAGUCGAACGAAGCCUUCGGGCUUAGUGGCGCACGGGUGCGUAACACGUGGGAAUCUGCCCUUAGGUACGGAAUAACUCAGGGAAACUUGAGCUAAUACCGUAUGAUGUCUUCGGACCAAAGAUUUAUCGCCUAAGGAUGAGCCCGCGUCGGAUUAGCUAGUUGGUGGGGUAAAGGCCUACCAAGGCGACGAUCCGUAGCUGGUCUGAGAGGAUGAUCAGCCACACUGGGACUGAGACACGGCCCAGACUCCUACGGGAGGCAGCAGUGGGGAAUAUUGGACAAUGGGCGAAAGCCUGAUCCAGCAAUGCGCGUGAGUGAAGAAGGCCUUCGGGUUGUAAAGCUCUUUUACCCGGGAAGAUAAUGACUGUACCGGAGAAUAAGCCCCGGCUAACUCCGUGCCAGCAGCCGC
RNAcentral lists this ribosomal RNA (444 nucleotides) under uncultured soil bacterium. RNAcentral's name for it is "bacterial SSU rRNA". It matches the Rfam family "Bacterial small subunit ribosomal RNA", at positions 26 to 518 of the family's 1533-position model. The record is from RNAcentral.